UGGGGAAUUUUGGACAAUGGGCGAAAGCCUGAUCCAGCAAUGCCGCGUGUGUGAAGAAGGCCUUCGGGUUGUAAAGCACUUUUGUCCGGAAAGAAAUCCUUGGCUCUAAUACAGUCGGGGGAUGACGGUACCGGAAGAAUAAGCACCGGCUAACUACGUGCCAGCAGCCGCGGUAAUACGUAGGGUGCAAGCGUUAAUCGGAAUUACUGGGCGUAAAGCGUGCGCAGGCGGUUUGCUAAGACCGAUGUGAAAUCCCCGGGCUCAACCUGGGAACUGCAUUGGUGACUGGCAGGCUAGAGUAUGGCAGAGGGGGGUAGAAUUCCACGUGUAGCAGUGAAAUGCGUAGAGAUGUGGAGGAAUACCGAUGGCGAAGGCGGCCCCCUGGGCCAAUACUGACGCUCAUGCACGAAAGCGUGGGGAGCAAAACAGGAUUAGAUACCCUGGUAGUCCACGCCCUAAACGAUGUCAACUAGUUGUUGGGGAUUCAUUUCCUUAGUAACGUAGCUAACGCGUGAAGUUGACCGCCUGGGGAGUACGGUCGCAAGAUUAAAACUCAAAGGAAUUGACGGGGUCAUA
Molecule: ribosomal RNA, 576 nt
Filed under: uncultured bacterium
Lineage: Bacteria
Description: partial 16S ribosomal RNA
Rfam family: Bacterial small subunit ribosomal RNA
Source: RNAcentral